CCUACGGGGGGCAGCAGUAGGGAAUUUUCGUCAAUGGGCGCAAGCCUGAACGAGCAAUGCCGCGUGAACGAGGAAGGUCUUCGGAUCGUAAAGUUCUGUUGAAGGGGAAAAAGGGAACGGAUAGGAAAUGAUCUGUUGGUGAUAUUACCCUUCGAGGAAGUCACGGCUAACUACGUGCCAGCAGCCGCGGUAAUACGUAGGUGGCGAGCGUUAUCCGGAAUGAUUGGGCGUAAAGGGUGCGUAGGCGGUCGAUUAAGUCUGGAGUGAAAGGUACCGGCUCAACCGGUAUAGGCUCUGGAAACUGA
Molecule: ribosomal RNA, 305 nt
Filed under: uncultured bacterium
Lineage: Bacteria
Description: bacterial SSU rRNA
Rfam family: Bacterial small subunit ribosomal RNA
Source: RNAcentral